This is a long non-coding RNA of Daphnia carinata, 920 nucleotides long. RefSeq lists it as uncharacterized. The record is from RefSeq and is a predicted model, not a curated record. The transcript is spliced from 5 exons. Lineage: Eukaryota; Metazoa; Arthropoda; Branchiopoda; Diplostraca; Daphniidae.
AAAAAGGUGAGAGAGGGACAACUCUCUAUAUUUCUCCAGUUGUUUCGACAUGGAAAACUUUGGAAACAAUCUCAACAAGAAAAUGAGAAGAUAUUCUAUUAACACAAACGCUGUUGGCUGUCCACGAAAACGCGUUGAAGAGAAAAAAAAGAUUUUUAGGAUUUCUCAGGACAACCUGCUGUGAACCCAUCAGCGCCAAAAAUCUUUUUGUUUCAUUUCUACAACAGCUUUUGUAUGAAUUGCUGGACAUUGUGUGGACUGCACAUUGGCCUCAACAGGAACGAAUCAGAGCUGCCGUAGAAAGCCGAGAUUGUCAUGGGAAGGACGCCUUUUUCUCUCCAGUUCUACAGUUGGACUCUCUUCAUUACUAAAGCGGCUUAAUGAGAAGAGUCUACGACUUUUAGGUUGUUGAGGAAAACAAAAAACAAAACAAAAAAGAAUUCCUGUGUCCGUCUCUGAUCAAGCCGUGAAGAUGAGCAACUGCCAACAGGCAAAGAGAGAACAAUGUGGCGCAUUAGCUCUAAUUGGACUGGACAUGGCAGCUUGUCUGUCGACUUACAAGAAUCGGGUCGAUGCUUUCACACCAGAUAUUCGUGUAUACGAGAAAGAGUCGAAAAACGCGAUCAAAAAGUGUGAAAAUCUAGAGUGUCUCUACACGGAUUCCCCGCUUGAUGGAUGCCGUGCGAGAUAUGAUGAAGCGAUCAAAUCCAUUGUUGGUCAUCCGUGUUUGCGGCUUUGUAUUCGAUAUCGAAAUAGAGUUACGGAGGCGCGGUUUGGUAUGUAGAGAUUCGUGCGUCUACAUGCGAGCAGCUUCGUCACACAGUCACGUACAAUCAAAGCCCGGGACAAGGAGAUGAAAAGAUAAGAGAAACGAGUCAUCCAGGAAUCUGUUCACGCUCCCAGCAGGGAAGCAAGACAUG